AGGAGCAUUUAGCCCCCAGGCCUUCUGAUGCCUAAGGAUUGCUCACGUUACUUCAGCCAAUCAGAGAACUGUGCAUGAGUGGAUUGCUUAUCAUGUAGCCCCCCUCCCUCACCAGGCCUUUCAAAAUACUUUGCUGAAACCUUCUGGGGAGUUGGGGGUUUGGGGGGCAAGAAAGAAAGUGAAGUCGCUCAGUGGUGUCCGACUCUUUGCGACCCCGUGGACUGUAGCCUACCAGGCUUCUCCAUCCAUAGGAUUCUCCAGGCAAGAAUACUGGAGUGGGUUACUGUUUCCUUCUCCAGAGGAUCUUCCUGACCCAAGGAUUGAACCCAGGUCUCCUGCAUUGGAGGCAGACACUUUAACCACUGAGCCACCAGGGAGCGACCCAUUUUCCUUGCAUGGCCUGCAGUAAGCCUUUCUCUGUUCCAAACACCAACAUUUCAGUACUGUUUGGCCUCACUGUGCCAUCAGGCACAAGGACUUGGCCUUUGGGAACAAGAGAAACAGAGGCCUGAGCCCCUUUCCAGAAGAUUUCCCAGCUGAGCUGAUUGGCUGUGGCAUUAGUCCAGGUAACCAAGUACCCUUUCCACGCAGAAGCAGCAGACCCAGAGUCAUAGCCAAGCACAAGCACAUACGUCUUUCACAGAGCACUGCGCUCUCUCAGGGCCGAGUCUCACCUUGGAGGUUGAUGAUGCUCCGAAGUCACGGGGAGCUGGAGCCCAUCUCCACCGACAGCCGUCUGGCUUUUGGAUUCCAGUCACAUUCUUCACCAGCCGAAGGGAGUGCUCAAGGCCCUUCUGUCCAUGGGAUUCUCCAGGCAAGACUACUGAAGUGGAUUGCCAUGUCCUCCUCCAGGGAUCUUCCUGACCCAGGGAUCGAACCCACACCUUUUAUGUCUCCUGCAUUGACAGGUGAUAAUAACUUACUGCUGCUGCCGUGCUAAGUCGCUUCAGUCGUGCCCGACUCUGUGCGACCCCAUAGAAAUAUACAAUAAGGUGGCAAAUUUUUUUUGGUAAAUGCAAGAAGGAAAUGAGUGCCCAAUUCACCCUUCCUUUCCCACUUAUAUAGUUUUGCUUUACUGCUUAUUCAUAAACGGGACAAAAUAGGUGUGAGCUGAGCAUUAAAAGAGUUAUACCAGUGUGGUCCAUUUGCAGACAUAAGGACGGUAUCACUGUUAGAAACAGUCUAGUAGUUAGGAUUUGGUCUGUAGUAGGAGUAACAGCAAGCAGGAAAUUAACACUAGUCAAUAACUCAUUUGACAGGUACUGGGGACACCCAGGUACUUGCCCUAGCUGAGCUGGGCAUGUUAUGUGACCUUUAUUGAAAUAUUUGAUUUCUGUGCUAUAAAAUGGACAUCGCCAUAUUUCUUUCUUCCUAGUCUUUCAAGAAAAGGUAAGAAG
Long non-coding RNA from Bos taurus (domestic cattle), 1397 nucleotides. The record is from Ensembl. Lineage: Eukaryota; Metazoa; Chordata; Mammalia; Artiodactyla; Bovidae.